Molecule: long non-coding RNA, 607 nt
Organism: Octopus bimaculoides (California two-spot octopus)
Lineage: Eukaryota; Metazoa; Mollusca; Cephalopoda; Octopoda; Octopodidae
Source: RefSeq, a predicted model, not a curated record
UUCGUUUCUAGGGUCCCGGUAUAUUCGAUAGAAAAUCUGCCCCUACACUUGAAAGUAGAAGAAUAGUUUAUGCCAGGGAGAAGAAAUGGCAGUCUCUACCGAGCGGAGAUGACGGAACCGAAAAUGAUUAUAUGAACUGCCAAUCAAGAAUAAGUGGCCGGGCUAACACUCUAGUAAGUAUUAUUUUCAGACUUUUAUGAUGUUGGUAUUGUAAUGUACUGUAGUUGUUUUGUGCGCUGUUCUUGGGGCAGGGAGAGUUGGAAAUCAUUGCUUCCUUGCACGAAUCGAGUAUCGUGUUACGUAAAAGUACUGAAUUUUCAAACUUCGACUUUCACAUUGGUUUAGAGGUUGUUGGCACUCCGUCGCUUACGACGUCGAGGGUUCCAGUUGAUCCGAUCAACGGAACAGCCUGCUCGUGAAAUUAACGUGUAAGUGGCUGAGCAUUCCACAGACACGUCUACCCUUAACGUAGUUCUCGGGGAUAUUCCGCGUGACACAGUGUGACAAGGCUGACCCUUUGAAUUACAGGCACAACAGAAGAGUGAAAGUUGUGGUGAAAGAGUACAGCAGGGUUCGCCACCAUCCCCUGCCGGAGCUUCGUGGUGCU